CGUAUCACCCAAGACAACUUUACGGAGUUGACGAUUGACGGAGCGAAGCGACGUCAAAGCGUUCAUUAAAGUCGAGUUGGCUUAGGGAUACGUUCGUUGGGUAGGGGAGCGUUCUGUAAGCCUGUGAAGGUGUGUCGUGAGGCAUGCUGGAGGUAUCAGAAGUGCGAAUGCUGACAUAAGUAACGAUAAAGCGGGUGAAAAGCCCGCUCGCCGGAAGACCAAGGGUUCCUGUCCAACGUUAAUCGGGGCAGGGUGAGUCGACCCCUAAGGCGAGGCCGAAAGGCGUAGUCGAUGGGAAACGGGUUAAUAUUCCCGUACUUGGUGUUACUGCGAAGGGGGGACGGAGAAGGCUAUGUUGGCCGGGCGACGGUUGUCCCGGUUUAAGCGUGUAGGUGUGUGUUCCAGGUAAAUCCGGUUCACUUUAACACUGAGGCGUGACGACGAGGCACUACGGUGCUGAAGCAACAAAUGCCCUGCUUCCAGGAAAAGCCUCUAAGCAUCAGGUAACACGAAAUCGUACCCCAAACCGACACAGGUGGUCAGGUAGAGAAUACCAAGGCGCUUGAGAGAACUCGGGUGAAGGAACUAGGCAAAAUGGUGCCGUAACUUCGGGAGAAGGCACGCUGACACGUAGGUGAAGU
RNAcentral lists this ribosomal RNA (641 nucleotides) under Salmonella enterica. RNAcentral's name for it is "partial 23S ribosomal RNA". It matches the Rfam family "Bacterial large subunit ribosomal RNA", at positions 1154 to 1772 of the family's 2925-position model. The record is from RNAcentral. Lineage: Bacteria; Pseudomonadati; Pseudomonadota; Gammaproteobacteria; Enterobacterales; Enterobacteriaceae.